UAGGGAAUCUUCCACAAUGGACGCAAGUCUGAUGGAGCAACGCCGCGUGAGUGAAGAAGGUUUUCGUAUCGUAAAGCUCUGUUGUUGGUGAAGAAGGAUAGAGGCAGUAACUGGUCUUUAUUUGACGGUAAUCAACCAGAAAGUCACGGCUAACUACGUGCCAGCAGCCGCGGUAAUACGUAGGUGGCAAGCGUUGUCCGGAUUUAUUGGGCGUAAAGCGAGCGCAGGCGGAAUGAUAAGUCUGAUGUGAAAGCCCACGGCUCAACCGUGGAACUGCAUCGGAAACUGUCAUUCUUGAGUGCAGAAGAGGAGAGUGGAAUUCCAUGUGUAGCGGUGGAAUGCGUAGAUAUAUGGAAGAACACCAGUGGCGAAGGCGGCUCUCUGGUCUGCAACUGACGCUGAGGCUCGAAAGCAUGGGUAGCGAACAGG
RNAcentral lists this ribosomal RNA (429 nucleotides) under bacterium. Its description in RNAcentral is "partial 16S ribosomal RNA". It matches the Rfam family "Bacterial small subunit ribosomal RNA", at positions 355 to 776 of the family's 1533-position model. The record is from RNAcentral.